RNAcentral lists this long non-coding RNA (440 nucleotides) under Nicotiana benthamiana. Its description in RNAcentral is "long non-coding RNA (NBEN_LNC040644)". Lineage: Eukaryota; Viridiplantae; Streptophyta; Magnoliopsida; Solanales; Solanaceae. The record is from RNAcentral.
AAUUUGGCCCACCUUCCUCCUGACCAUUGAAAGUAUGAUUUGAAGAAAAUCUAGAGGUUUGUUUAUCAAAAUCAUUUGUGGAAUUGUAUGAUGUGCUUUCUUUCUCCAUAACUCUCCUACUUGCUUCUGAUACUUUAGAUUCAUGGGGUUGCUCAAAAGCAUUUUCUGCCUCAACAGAAGCAGCCAAUGUAGUCGCUAAAGGAGGUUCCUUGAUUGUACAUUCAUGGGGUUGCUCAUAAGCAUUUUCUGCCUCAACAGAAGCAGCCAAUGUAGUCGCUAAAGGAGGUUCCUUGAUUGUAGGAGGUAUUAUACUUGCACUCUGAUCUUUUUUGGUGUUUCCGCCUUUGGAUAGACUUUUAACCCUGUAAAUACAACGUCAAUAGGUUCAUCCAUAUAAUCAAACGGAUAAAACAUUCAAUUUGUACAAAAAAGGCAAGAGC